Molecule: ribosomal RNA, 253 nt
Filed under: uncultured bacterium
Lineage: Bacteria
Description: partial 16S ribosomal RNA
Rfam family: Bacterial small subunit ribosomal RNA
Source: RNAcentral
UACAGAGGGGGCAAGCGUUGUUCGGAAUUACUGGGCGUAAAGGGCGCGUAGGCGGCCUUCUAAGUCGAACGUGAAAUCCCUGGGCUCAACCCAGGAACUGCGUCCGAUACUGGAAGGCUUGAAUUCGGGAGAGGGAUGCAGAAUUCCAGGUAUAGCGGUGAAAUGCGUAGAUAUCUGGAGGAAUACCGGUGGCGAAGGCGGCAUCCUGGACCGACAUUGACGCUGAGGAGCGAAAGCCAGGGGAGCAAACGGG